ACUCUCUAGCAUACCGACCUGAAUGUGUCUGAUCUUGUCUAAUCUCAGAAGCUAACCUGGUUAGUUAGUACUUGGAUGGGAGACAUAGGUUGGUACUUCUGUCUUUUAAGUU
RNAcentral lists this ribosomal RNA (112 nucleotides) under Mustela putorius furo (domestic ferret). The record is from RNAcentral. Lineage: Eukaryota; Metazoa; Chordata; Mammalia; Carnivora; Mustelidae.